UCCGGUUUGUCACCGGCAGUCUCCCUAGAGUGCCCUUGCGUAGCAACUAGGGACAAGGGUUGCGCUCGUUGCGGGACUUAACCCAACAUCUCACGACACGAGCUGACGACAACCAUGCAGCACCUCUGCUCGCUCCCUUGCGGGUCAGCCUCUGUUUCCAGAGACUUACCACGAGUAGUUCAAGCCCAGGUAAGGUUCUUCGCGUUGCGUCGAAUUAAACCACAUGCUCCACCGCUUGUGCGGGCCCCCGUCAAUUCCUUUGAGUUUCAACCUUGCGGCCGUACUCCCCAGGCGGGAUGCUUAAUGCGUUAGCUGCGCCACUGACGAGCAAGCUUGCCAACGGCUAGCAUCCAUCGUUUACGGCGUGGACUAC
This 373-nucleotide unclassified non-coding RNA is filed under the name uncultured bacterium. RNAcentral's name for it is "contains 16S-23S intergenic spacer region". The record is from RNAcentral.